RNAcentral lists this unclassified non-coding RNA (416 nucleotides) under Hevea brasiliensis (rubber tree). Lineage: Eukaryota; Viridiplantae; Streptophyta; Magnoliopsida; Malpighiales; Euphorbiaceae. The record is from RNAcentral.
UGUGAAUCGAAGCCUCUUGUACGGGCAAGUAUGCUGAUGAUUUCGCUGUGAUUUCCACUAAAGCUCCGUUGGCAUCUACAGAAAAUACUGUCCCUUUGACCUUGGUACCCAUUUCUGAGUCAAAAUCAUAUUUUUCAAGGGCAGAGUGAAAAUCUUCAACAGUGAAAGCUACACCUUCCAUAGGAGCUGUACGGCAUCUUUCAUAAGCUUGUUCAAACAUCUCCUUAAGCUUGAUUCUCUCUCUUGUUUCUGCAUUUGUAGUCGCCACUGCCCCAGCUCGAGACACAAUCUUUUGCUUUCUAUGAACAAUAAUAAUGGGAUUUACAAUAUUCUUUUUGGAUUGAACAAUUCUUGUUGUUGAAAUUGGUGAACACUUUAAUCCAACAAAUUGAUGUGCUAAAGAUCCCAUCUUUUUG